CUACGGGUGGCAGCAGUGAGGAAUAUUGCACAAUGGGGGGAACCCUGAUGCAGCAACGCCGCGUGGAGGAUGACGCAUUUCGGUGUGUAAACUCCUUUUAUAUGUCGAGAAAAUGACGGUAGCAUAUGAAUAAGCACCGGCUAACUCCGUGCCAGCAGCCGCGGUAAUACGGAGGGUGCAAGCGUUACUCGGAAUCACUGGGCGUAAAGGACGCGUAGGCGGGUUGGAAAGUCAGGUGUGAAAUCCUACAGCUUAACUGUAGAACUGCACUUGAAACUUCUAAUCUAGAGUAUGGGAGGGGGAGAUGGAAUUAGUGGUGUAGGGGUAAAAUCCGUAGAUAUCACUAGGAAUACCUAAAGCGAAGGCGAUCUCCUGGAACAUUACUGACGCUAAGGCGUGAAAGCGUGGGGAGCAAACAGGAUUAGAUACCCCUGUAGUC
Molecule: ribosomal RNA, 439 nt
Filed under: uncultured bacterium
Lineage: Bacteria
Description: partial 16S ribosomal RNA
Rfam family: Bacterial small subunit ribosomal RNA
Source: RNAcentral